UCAACCAGUCUUCGGGCCAUAUGCCGGUC
RNAcentral lists this small RNA (29 nucleotides) under Bombyx mori (domestic silkworm). RNAcentral describes it as "ovarian small RNA-24606". The record is from RNAcentral. Lineage: Eukaryota; Metazoa; Arthropoda; Insecta; Lepidoptera; Bombycidae.